Callithrix jacchus (white-tufted-ear marmoset) is the source of this 1801-nucleotide long non-coding RNA. NCBI's taxonomy places the organism in Eukaryota, Metazoa, Chordata, Mammalia, Primates, Cebidae. The record is from Ensembl.
CCUCUGAGGCCCGUAGCACCCCUUGAAUAGUCAGUUCAGCCAGGGCAGGCCUGAACAAUCCUCCUGGGAAAUGGUGUUUGCUACUAGCAAGGCAUCUAUCUAUGUGCUUGAUCAUAUAGUAUCCUCAAAUUCAUCACUAUGAGAGAUUCAAUUGUUCUUCUUUCCAAAUAACAUAUAUUUCAGAGAUUUUGAGAACUCCAUCAAGAAUUUUCCAAUUUGGUUUUAUCCUGAAGGAGAUUUAUCAUUUUUAGGAAGUUCAGAGCUUGAAUCUUGAAGACUGCAUUAGUCUUCUGCAGCUGCCAUAAUGAAAUACCACAGACAGACAGGUUUAAACAAUAAAAAUUUAUUUCUCAUAGAUUUAGAGGCUGGGAAGUCCAAGAUCAAGGUACUGGUAAGGCAGGUUUCAUUCUGAGGCCUCCUCCCUUGGCUUGCAGGCUGCCACCAUCUCACUGUGGACUCUUGUGACCUCUCCUUUGUGCUUAUCCAAGUGGGGAGAGGGAGAGAAAGAGCAAGCUCUCUGGUGUCUCUUCUUACAAGGGCACUAAACCUGCCAGAUCAGGGCCCCACUCUUAUGACCUCAUUUAACUGUAAUUACCUCUUUAUAGGCCCUAUCUUCAAUACAGCCACACUGGAGGUUAGGGCUUCAAAAUAUGAAGUGGGGGGAAUGCGAUUCAGACCCUGUCAAAAACCUUGUUUCAUACUGGCAGCCGAGAGUUCUGGGAAAUGAAGGGAAGGAUGAAAUAUAAUGUUACCACACAACACCAGUGUGUUUUACCAUCCUUCUCGGGUUUGAAUGAUCGCUUCCUUUAUUUUCCAUCUUGUUAUUCCUAAUGUUCUUUGUUCUAUGCUGGCAAAUAGGAAAUCCCGGGCCAGAGCUUUAGUUAAGAAGGGAUAUAAAGGACUCGGGGAAGGCUCAGAGUCUAAGAGAUUCAAGACCAUGCACAUUUUAAGAUGAAUAUAUAUUCACUCUUGUAACAGUGGAUGAAUGCAGGGAGCACCACGGAGCACCUCAAUAUUGUGCAUGCCAAACAGAUCAUUCAAAUCAAUGGGCUGCUGAGACUUGAUAUUAGAAAGUAACUGUUACUUAUAUGGUCACAUUUCAAAUUUUCAUUUUCAUUAGAACAGCUUCAUUGUUUUUGUGUGGUUGGUAGGUUCUGUAAAUUUAAAAGAUGUAUUAAUACACAUUUUUAAUAAAUUGAGAUGCACAUUUUAUUUAUAAAUCAUAUCUUUUACAAAAUAAACUUAUGCUAGUAAAAUAAGCACUAAGUUUUUCUUUUUCUUUGAAAAAGAACUUGCUUCCAGUUGUUAAUAGUCUAAAGUGCCAUAUUAUUAAAAUGGCAUACAUUACUAAUUUGCCAAAAACAAAUCUCAUUCUUGCCCCAUUUUAGUUUUGCUCUUCACUCACGAAAGUUGGUCUGUAUGAGAUCAGUGUGGACCUUAGCAAAACUAAUCAUUUUCACUGGAUCACUAUUCUCUCUGUUAUAUACAUUAUUCCCACCAACCCCUUCAAUAGUAUCUUGGAUUUCAGUGGCAAUGUGUUUUCUAGUUUAAUCCUUAUCUCUCUGAUCAUCUGUUUCCUUCACUAACAUCCAGGGUAUUCCUCUGACCAUUCAUACAUCAAAUAUUAAUAGAUGGUAUAUGUGCCAGGAAUUUACUGAUGCAUUAAUAUAAAUCUCUGAACCCACUUAACAGCAUAAAACUACCAUUUUAUUUGAUUUAUGAUUGGAGCUAAGGUGUCCACGAAGGGCUCGACUUGGUGAUUUAUCUUUAAUAUUUGACAUCAGCUUGGAUUGCUAGGGCA